RNAcentral lists this long non-coding RNA (41310 nucleotides) under Capsicum annuum. RNAcentral describes it as "long non-coding RNA (CANN_LNC003842)". The record is from RNAcentral. Lineage: Eukaryota; Viridiplantae; Streptophyta; Magnoliopsida; Solanales; Solanaceae.
GGUAGUUGUAGGGUUUUGGUGGGGAAGGAAACAGAAGCGUGAGUGGUAGAUGGAGAAAUGUGAGAGGGAGAAGGAAGGGUGAUUGUGGAUAGAGUGGAAGCCAUUCUAGUAGAACCUAAAGAGAAUUUUGAGCGGAAAAUACAGCGAAAGAAGAAACAAGUGAAAAUAGGAUAAGGGGAUUGAAUAUUGUGAUGUGUGUUUGGUCCGAACUAAAAUGUUUUUCAUUGGUGGAUGAAAAAUACUUUUUAGUAUUUGUUUGAUGAAUAAAAAAAAAAUUUUAAAAAAUACAUUUUAGUGUUUAGUUAAAACAUACAAAUAUAUUUUAGAAUUUUUUUUAAAAAAUAAAUUUAAAAAAUUAAAUUCUUUUUUGGAAAAGGGGAUGGUAGGUGUGUGGAUGAUGGGGUGUCAAAAUAGACAGUAGGGAUGAGUAAGAAAAAGUUUUAAAUAUUUUUUGUUAAAAAAUUAAAAAAAUUGGCAGGAGAGGGGGAAAGGGGAUAGUAGGAGUUGGGGUCGGGGCAGGGGAGUGAGGGGAAAAGGGAAGAAAAAAAUUAAAAUUUUUUAAAAGAAUAUAAUUUUUUUUUUAGGUUAGGGGGUGGGGGUGGAGUGGGAGGAAGGGAUAAGAGAGGGGAGAGAGAGCGUAGGAGUGUGGGGUAAGAGAAAAAUUUAAAUCUUUUAAUAAAAUGUAAAUAUUGUUUUUGAAUAGGGGUGAGUGGAGAUAGGGGAUGGACUAAGAAAUUUUUUUGAAAUACUUUUUAAAAUAAUUGAAUUUUGGGGUGGGUGAGGGAUGGGGUGGGGGUAGGGGUGGGGGUUGGGGUGAUAGGGUAUUGGGGGAGGGAUAGAUAAUUUUAAAAAUUGUAUCAACAUUUUAACUUUAAAGUAAGGUUGAAAGACAGUUUUGAAAAAUGUUUUCUUUACUUUUUGAAGCAAAGUUAUUUUUCUUAGAUUUAAGAAAAAUAAGUUGAUUUGAAACAUUUUUCAAAAUAUACAAGCCAACCAAACAUAAAAAAAAAAAUUGAAAAACAUUUUCUGUUUUCUUCAUACCAAACACACCCAAGGUCACAUAUAGUUUUCUUUUUUCCCUUUUGUUCUUUUGGUUUAGUUUAUUAUUGAAUAGAUUUAUAAGAGAAAAAAAAAUUGUAAUUCAAUCUAUAUCUUAAGACCGGUAUCACUCAAACUUAGGAUUUUGGAUUAGAUUAUUUAAGACUUACCAAGGUUGAUGUUAAAAUGUUGAUUAAAUAGAAAUGCAAAAUAAUAUAUUCUUACUAAAAUUGAGGACAAAACAAUGAAAGUAAAGAAACUCCUAUAUGUACUUUAAAAUUUGAUUAUAGAGGUCUAAUUGGUUCUUAAGUUCAAUCCUGUUUCAUUAGCUUGACUUUCUGUAUGGGGUUUAAUUCAAGUUUAGCAAAUAGACCAACCUGAUUGCGGCAGUAGGCUUAUUUUGGUGGUUGGUGUUACUUCGGCUCAGUCUCGAUUGCUUCAUAAUUGGGUAGCCUGAAGGACCUUUCCCCGAAGGAAAAUCACUUUACAGCCAUGGCCCUCUCAUAACGACCUGAUGCAGAUCAAUAAUUAGUCUGGAAUCCAAACUUGCCACUAAACCUGUUAAACGGGCCGAGUUGAUCCGGCUCAUUUAAUAAAAUCCGCUCGAUCAGCUCAUGUACCGUAGGGUAUCAAGUCUUGGACCAUUUUAAUUUUGUAGUUGAGUCCGAUUAACCCGGCUCGGAUCAAGCCUAGUUCAGAUCCGCAGGUUAACCGGCCCGGAACAUUUUUUUUUUAAAAUUGGGUUGUUGGAUUGGGCCCAAAUACUAGUUGUUGGCCCAACGGCUAUAUAGUCGUUUUUGGGUUCAAACGGCAAGUUUGGACCUUUUAGAAAAAAAAAACUUUUAAAAUUAUUUUUUAACCUCCAAAAAAUUCCUAUAAAUACCCUACACUUUCAAAUCAUUUUCCACACAAUUUUUCAUUUUGUCAAUUCUCAUUCUCUCUCAAUUCUCAAAUAUUCUAUAUAUUUUCUAAAGUGCUCACUUUAAAUUUUUAAUUUUGCGAUUACAAAGUACGAGUGAAAGUUUUAAAGUUGCAACCUUCGGAUAUUUCAAAAUUUGGUAUUGUCGUUCCAUCUCUUACGUUUAAUUUUUAUUUAAUGUAUUAAUUGUUGCAUAUUUAAUUUUAUUAUAUUUGUGUAUUUUAGAGGUAGUGGUAUGGACUGCGUACACUCUAUCCUCCCCAGACUUCACUUUGUGAGAAUAUACUGGGUUUGUUGUUGUUGUAUAUUUGUGUAUUUUGAAUUUUUUUAGUUUAAUUUAUAUUAUAGAUAAAUUAAGAAACCUCGCUAUUAAAGGUGUUAAAAUUUUUGGUCCCAGAAGCGGUUGUGGUAGUAAAAAGAGAAUUACUAGUGGUAGAGGUUAGGGUUGUGCAAAAAUGGAACCGAUCGAUAAAUCGAACCAAUAAAAAUGUUAUUGGGUUAUUGGUAUUAGGUUAUCGGAUUAAUGAUUUUUUAUUGGUUUUACAAAAAAAAUUAUCGGGUUAACCGAUAACCCAAUAAGGAUACACUAAAUUAUUAGUUUAUGCUUAUCUAUCUAUCUAUCUAUCUAUCUAUCUUCCAACAAUUAGGAUUCAAUUUUUUUCCUAACAUUCAGUUCAAGUUUGAAGAUUCUUGUAAACUAGAAUGCAUUGCGUAGGUUUUGGCGGUAAUUAAGAUUUCAUUUUUUUAUAUUAGUUGUUACUAUUUCUAUUUUAUAAGUAUUUUCUUAUUGGUUAAACUGAAAACCGAACCGUUAAGGACCGAAAACCGAUAAAUCAAAAUCGAUAAGAAAAUAUCUUAUUGGUUAAUUAUUGAUUUUACAUAUUUAAAAAGCGAAAAUCGAUAAACUGAACCAAUGACAUGUAAAAACGAACUGAACCGACCGAUGCACACCCCUAGUAGAGGUACUUCAAGUAAUAGAUAUAACCGUGUGUCUUCGCUUCCGGUACCAUUUGGUACACCUUUUGAGGAAGAAGCAGGUGUAGGUGCCCCGGUACCGUUUGGUACACCUUUUGAGGAAGAAAUAGGUGUAGGUGCUCACGAUAUGGAUUAUGUAAAAGCUCAGAAAAGUUACAGUAUAGAAGAAAAAAACAAAGUAGAUGCGGUUAAUUUAGACGAAGAUGAUGAAAAUAUUGGUGAGACACCCGCAGUAGAAAAUGCUAACGUUAGAUCUGAAUCGGUUAAUCUCCCUCCCCGUCCUCCCUGUGCCCAAGAGCUCGUAAAACAACUAGUAUUGCAUGGUAAAUUUUUGAACGUAUAUCAGAUACUGAGAUGCAAUGCAAUAUUUGUCAACAAAUAUAUAAGCAUAAAAGCGGAGGCAAGCAAAUGGAUACGGGUACGUUAAUGAGACAUAUAGGUGAUGUUCACGAAAGAGAGUUAAAUAUUGCACGAGGUGUUGGGAUGUUGGUGGGCCAACGCAAACUAGAAUGGACCCAGCAACCGAUCAGGUAAUGAAGAAGUAUAAUAAAUUGAGGGACCGGGAAGAAAUAACUAAAAUGAUAGUUGUGGGUUGUUUGUCAUUUAGUUUUUCUUCUUCUGAUGUCUUUAUUCAUUAUAUUCAAGCAAUUUAUAAUNNNNNNNNNNNNNNNNNNNNNNNNNNNNNNNNNNNNNNNNNNNNNNNNNNNNNNNNNNNNNNNNNNNNNNNNNNNNNNNNNNNNNNNNNNNNNNNNNNNNNNNNNNNNNNNNNNNNNNNNNNNNNNNNNNNNNNNNNNNNNNNNNNNNNNNNNNNNNNNNNNNNNNNNNNNNNNNNNNNNNNNNNNNNNNNNNNNNNNNNNNNNNNNNNNNNNNNNNNNNNNNNNNNNNNNNNNNNNNNNNNNNNNNNNNNNNNNNNNNNNNNNNNNNNNNNNNNNNNNNNNNNNNNNNNNNNNNNNNNNNNNNNNNNNNNNNNNNNNNNNNNNNNNNNNNNNNNNNNNNNNNNNNNNNNNNNNNNNNNNNNNNNNNNNNNNNNNNNNNNNNNNNNNNNNNNNNNNNNNNNNNNNNNNNNNNNNNNNNNNNNNNNNNNNNNNNNNNNNNNNNNNNNNNNNNNNNNNNNNNNNNNNNNNNNNNNNNNNNNNNNNNNNNNNNNNNNNNNNNNNNNNNNNNNNNNNNNNNNNNNNNNNNNNNNNNNNNNNNNNNNNNNNNNNNNNNNNNNNNNNNNNNNNNNNNNNNNNNNNNNNNNNNNNNNNNNNNNNNNNNNNNNNNNNNNNNNNNNNNNNNNNNNNNNNNNNNNNNNNNNNNNNNNNNNNNNNNNNNNNNNNNNNNAGAAUUAGAGAAUUUAAAGUUAAAUGUCAAGAAAAUGGACUUGCACCAAUAUUGAUGCUCGAGGAAAUUGAUAUUAGAUGAAAUUCUACGUAUGAUUUUUUAAAAACUUUUUAUAAAUAUAGAGUUCCUAUUACACUAGCUUUUAACCAAUAUUGUGGUUCAUUUGCUGAUUCUGCUGAUCGCAUGCUACAUGAUUCUUAUUGGGUUGUAAUUAAUGAUCUUGUUAAUUUUUUUUAGAAAAAAUUUAUGUAGCUACGAUUGAAUUUUUCGGUGCUUAUUAUCCUAUUGUUUGUAAUAUUUUGACAUAUAUAACCGAUAUUUCUGAUUUGCUCAAAGAGUAUAAAAAUAAAGAAGUUUAUAAAGAAACUGUUGAUGGCAUGUUUACUAAAUUUUAAAAAUAUUUUUUCUGAUUCCCCCUAUUUACUUGGUUGGUGUUAUGCUAAAUCCGUGCAUGAAAUAUAAUACUAUGUGCCACUUUAGUACUAUUAUUUAUGCUAACUUAGAAAUAAAUACUAACAAUGAUUCUGAACAAGUACAACCUGAUUUGUGGACGGCUAUGGGUGAUGGGGAUGAAUACAUAGAAAAAUUAUAUAUAAUUACUAUGUUGAUUUAAUUGAUUUAGCCGUACCUAUAAAUAUCACUCCAACUGUUGCUCCUCAUCCUCCCGAGGAGCCAUCAUCUUCUAAAAGGCCGACACAUAGUGAUUUUCCUGAUUCCUUUUAUGAUUUACCUUGUUGGAACAGUGUUGAUGAGAUAGCUUACACAUCAAGUUAUCGGGAAGAGCUUAAAUAUUAUCUUCGGUCCCCGUCAGAGGAUCGCAGACAACGGAUCAACACGUUGGAUUGGUGGAGGAGUAAUGAAACACAAUAUCCUGUUCUUUCAAGAUUAGCUAGAAAUAUAUUGAAUGUUCCAAUGUCAACAGUUGCAUUAGAGAGCGCCUUUAGUCAGGGACGACAGCAACUAGGAGACAACCGACACUCAUUGGGAAGCAAUGCAAUGAAUGUUUUAGUUUGCCUCAAAGAUUGGAUUAGAGCGAAAAGAAGAAACCAAGGAAUGGAACCGGAGCCGAACGACGAGCAGAAACUUGAAGAAAUUAUGUCUUCACGGGAGAACUCAGCAGAAUCAAGUCNNNNNNNNNNNNNNNNNNNNNNNNNNNNNNNNNNNNNNNNNNNNNNNNNNNNNNNNNNNNNNNNNNNNNNNNNNNNNNNNNNNNNNNNNNNNNNNNNNNNNNNNNNNNNNNNNNNNNNNNNNNNNNNNNNNNNNNNNNNNNNNNNNNNNNNNNNNNNNNNNNNNNNNNNNNNNNNNNNNNNNNNNNNNNNNNNNNNNNNNNNNNNNNNNNNNNNNNNNNNNNNNNNNNNNNNNNNNNNNNNNNNNNNNNNNNNNNNNNNNNNNNNNNNNNNNNNNNNNNNNNNNNNNNNNNNNNNNNNUAUAUAUAUAUAUUGUAAUGUAUAUAUAUUGUAGUAUAUUUUAUUUAAAGUAGUACAUAUACAUUGAAUGGUGCGUAUAUAUGUAUAAUUGUGUAUAUGUGUAUAUAUUUUUUAAAUACUAAUGUAGUAUAUAUUAUAUAUAUAGUGUAUAUAUAUUGUUUAACGUAUUUAAAAUGUAUAUAAAUGGGUAUAUAUAAUGUAUAUUGAAAUUUUUUAUUUUUUUUAAUUUUUGAUUGGGUUUGACCGGAUUUUUAACGAGUUUGACUGACUUUAGGCGGGUUUGACCGAGUUGGGUUAAGUGGGCCGGGUUAAGACUAUUUUUAAAAAUUUUACUGUUGAACCCGGCCCGAUCCUCAAUCCAGAUAAAUUUAAUGGGCCGGUUCUGGGUUAAUCCUGCCUGGCUUGACCCACUUAACACCCUUGCCACCAAUCAACCUCGAGCCCAGUGUCAGAGUUUAAGUGUCUCGGUAUUAACACAGUCAUUUGACACAGACGAUGAAACUACACUAUUAGAUAGCAUUUUCAGUACUAGUGUGCAAUCAAUUUUACACUGAGGAAUGGAUUGACUUUUGGCCAAUAAAAUAAUCAUCUUCGAACAUAUAAAUAAAGUUAGAAAUGAAAAAAGGUAGCAGCCUUUUCAGAACUAUGUAAUCAUUUUACACCAAGGGAUGGAUUGACUUUUGGCCUAUAAAAGUCAUCUUCGAAAAUAUAAAUAAAAUUAGAAAUGAAAAAAGGGGGCAUUCCGAGAAUUGAACUCGGGACCUCUCGCAGACCAAAUGCCCUGCUUUGGAAGCCGUGCCCUUAAUUACAUAAUGACUAAAUUAUUUAGUUCCUACAUGAAGAAAACUGAAAUGUUUUUCUUUUCAAACUUGUAAGCUACAGUACCUUGAAAGUACCUGUACCUUUUGGUGUCGUUUGAUUGGUGGAAUAAGAACUUGAAGUAUCUCAUGAUUAUUUUAUCCCACUCGACAUGUUGAGUGACACUUGUGGAGUUAAACAAUGCGUGAGUUCAUGGACCAAAGGUAAUUGACUUUGUUCUGAGUCAUUUUAAAGCUGUUUUAUCCUCCUAUUAUAUGUACUGUGUCAAACAUAAGCAAUUUGAACAUAAGAGAGGAUGAUGAGGAAUUGAGGAUAACGUGUAUUGAUUGAUAUAUACUUUCAAAGGGAGAAUACAUGUCUGUAAGAUUUAUGCCAUUUUCAGGCCAAGUAUUUCGAAUUCUCUAAAGCUAAAAUCAUACAACACAGCUGGAAUCGACGUGUAAAAAUCAUCCAGUGGGGAAUGCUUCUUGAACAAAGACAUUUACCGUCUUCUACGCCUCCUACCAUACAAGUAUGCAAAAGCAGCAAUUGAUGCAGCCAAUAUUACUCCAGCUGUUGCAUGCCAAGCAUGUAAAGGUUUCUCCGUAACAAUAGUGGAACCCGAACCACUGCUGACAACAACAGCCUCCGUUGGCUCUGCUUGACGACUCAAUGCCAAUGCAAAUUCUAAUCCCUGUGUCUCAAGAUCAGCCAAGUCCUCGAUUGCUGGUUUGAGCCUUGUGAUCUUUGCAAUAGCUUUGUACUCCUCUUUCGUUCCACCCUCUAGAAAAGACCCAACGACAUGACCUUUGUUCACCCAGUAUGCACCAAAGCUAUUGCCCAAGAAAUCCCCAAAAUGGACUACAUCACCAGUAUUGUCACCAUAAAACUGCCAAGAGAGUGUGAAGACUCUGGAGUAGAAGAACGGCAAGUAGUCAAACUCAGUUGUUUUCUCUGGUUCCAUGAUUGCAGCUACUGCAUGUCUUGCUGCCUUCCUUGCAGAAUCAACAUGUUCAAGUCUCCGUGUUUCACCGAAAGUUUUGACAGGAAAAGUUGCAACAUCCCCAACAGCAUAGACUGAACUGUUGCUUGACUGCAUUCGUCCAUUGACUUUUAUCCCUCCUUUCUCAAGAGUGAGUUGCCCUUCAAAGAGGCUAGUAUUUGGUCGAAUUCCAAUGCCUACUAUGACCAUGUCAGCAGAUAGCUUGGUUCCAUCUCUCAGAUUCACUGCAGUGAUCUGCAUAACAGUCGCCGCAUUCAACCAUCAGUUCCAGUAUAACUUCAGUAACAUAUAAAAUUGGGAAAUUCAACAGUUGAUUAAUGUUUGUUCCAGCUUAACAAAGUGACUUCUCAAAUGGAGUUUGGAAAUCUUCACUCUUCAACAAAAAUUGACCUUUUCUUAUUCAAACAAAUAAGGGUUUAAAAAAGCUGUUUUUAAGCACUCACAAACUGAGUUUGCACUAACAAAGUAACUAGUCAAACUGAGGUUGGAAAUCUUGUACAUGAAAAAGUAGUUCAAACAAAACUUCUGCGAAAAGCUUUCGAGCAAACGCCACCCAAGUGAAGCAAGCAACAGGCUUUACCUUCUGAUUGGAGUCAAAAUCAAAUGAUGCCAAGACUGUUCCUUUGACAAACUGAACUCCUUUUGACCGGUAAAAUUCUUCAUAGUAACUUGCAAUUUUAGGAGUAAAUAAACGGGCCACUAACAACAAAAGAAAAGGAAAGAAAAUUAAAUGCAUUAUUUAAAUAUUAGAAAGAACAACAGUUAGUCUUCUGAUGAACAUAAGAUAGAUUAGCAAUGGUUGCACAUUUAUGGUUUGUCACUGUAACUAACUCUCGGAUUUUGGCUUUUAACAAUUACAAGAAACAAAUUGGUUUUUAUCAUACAUGAACUCUCAAUCUCUGAUUUCAUGUUUUAAGGAAAUGUGUGGGUGGAAGUCCGGUUAAUUACUGAGAUCAUUGUUUUCCUCUACUAGUAGCAAGGUUCGGAGAGUAAUGAGUGUGCCAGAUUUCUGAUAGUUGUUAGUAUUUUCUUGAUGAAAUCCAGCUAAUAAAGGUAUACUAUGCAUUAUUCUUAAGAGAGGGAAAAAUCAGCUUUUACCUCUGAUAUAAUUUACAAACUACCUAAAGAAACUCGAGUAAGAAACAGAAAAGAAAGUUCUCCAUCUUCACAAAAGAGCAGAAAAUAAUUACUACAGUGUGGUUCUGGAAAGACCAUGGUGACAUUUAUGUUGUUGAUCACCAAAGAAGCAGCACAUUCCAUUCCGAUGUAGCCACCACCAAUUACAACAGCAUUGCCACCACUGCUGGAUUGCAUCACAUUAACCAGCCUGUUUGCAUCAGCCAAAUCUCGUAAAUAACAUACACUUUCAGCAUCUGAGCCACUCACUCCAAACUCUUCAAGCUUCAAAGCCUAACAGUACACGCCAACCAAAAGUCAGAGCCUUCAUAAAUUUUUACUUUCAUUGUCCACUAGGGACUUGGUCUUUGAGGUUGAACUUUGUCCAUACCAAAGAAACCCUUUGGCAUGAACCUUCAGAGCUCACUUGUUAAUCAAAUUGUGUUUCGAACUUUCUUGCUGAACUGAAUGAACUCUACCCAUCUGAUGUCCAUGAAGCCUAACAUCUAUCCUAACAAGCUUGACACCUAAUUUCUACAGCAGAGUGGAGGCACGGGAUACAUAUAAAAUGAUUAUAUGCAAUUUCUGUGCUACUGAUUCUUGACAUUCUUUUCACGAUCCCCACGGAACGGCUUAUAACCAAAAUAAUAUUUUCACAGGUAUAAAUUUACUCUAAAAAUCACAUGCACAAGAUUAUGCAGAAGCUAAGGUAUUGUGAGACAGCAGAAUUUUCGUUUUUUUUUUUCCUUAGUUGGUACAGCAGAAUUGUAUUUCAAGUUUGGUCAGUAUCCACCGACCCCUCCGGGAAAUCACUUAAAGCAAGGCUCUGGUGUUUAGUAAUAGAAAGUAUACAGGAUAUAACCCUUGUGGGUUCUGCUUUACGUUUUUUAGCAAACAACAAUAACAACAACAUACCCCAGUGUAAUCCCACAAGUGCGGUCUGGGGAGGGUAGAAUAUACGCACACCUCACCCUUACCUCGUAAAGUUAAAGAGGCAUAGAGAGCAAGGGUAAGAUCUGCAAACACUCUACCCUCCCCAGACCCCACUUGUGGAUAUAUGGUAUGGUGGAGGUGGUGUUAGCUAAGAACCUUAAAGUUAGAACCCCUAAGGGUUCUUAGCACUGAACCCAUUAUAUUUUUAAAUACAUGGGAUCAUAUCUACGAUUUGUUGCAUUUUAAUGGAUACCCCUAAAUUUCUGUUCCGUGUAGAAAGUUGCACUCGCCCCUGCUUAUUCACUCCGUCAGAACUCAGAAGAGGACAUUACUCUAAUGUCUUAAUGCAUAAAACAUGCAACAAAAUAUGGUGCUACAGAAGAAGAGACCAAAGAUAAAUUAGAUACCCGAGCACCAGUUGCCACUAUGAGAAACUUGUAGGUUAUGGUUUCACCGGUUGCAGUCAACAAUGUCUUCCGUCUCACAUCAGCUGAUUUUACACGAGUUCCAAGGACCAGUUCAAUGCCUAAAGGCAAUAGAACAAUCAAUGAUUAUCAAUAUCCUAGGAAAGAAAUUAAAAACCUUAUUCUUUUCCACGAAAAAAUAACUAGAACUAAAGGAAAUAGCUUAACAUAAUUACAUAUUGUAAUCACUGAUGCCCGUUACCAGCAAUUUUUGUUUUCAUUGACAUCCCCAGCUAGCCAUUCCAUAAAAAGAGAUCAGUUUCAGAACCUUAUGAUAUCCAUGGUAACUGAAGCUUCAUUUUACGUGAUUUGAAAAUCAGUAUUACUGCAGCUAAUUACAGCCCAGGAAGAGUAAGAAUGUCACUCAUCUUUUGCCCUGAUUCUAAUUUUUCAAAAUGUCGGCUAAACAUGAAACGUAAGCAGAUAUUAAAAAUCAGGAAAUAGUUCAUGCUCUUCCAACAUAAAACAAGGUUUCUGCUACUCUAAGCAUAGAUGAACUUCGGAAUGGAAAGUCUAAUCUUUUCCUUUUCUUUUAUGAAAUAGCUAUCCUCUCAAUAGAUAGUCCUAAAAAGCUAAGACAAACAUCAAACUUGGUUCUGAAAACAUCCAUAUGUGAUGGAUUCCAAUCCCUUAACCAAACACCAACAACAAAAUUAUGCUGCUACAUUAACUACAAUAGAAUAACACAGUGUAUUCUAUAGCUCUACCUCUACGCAAGUUAUUCAAUAACGGAUAACCUUUAUAAGUUCAAGGCAGUUAGUAGCUGCCCUGCUGCAGUGAUAUGUAAUCACUUUGGAAAAUUUUAAAUAUGAGAACCAUAAAUUAAAAUUCAUUAAGUAUAAUAAUGCCUGCUAAAAUAUUAUAAAGGGUUAAGGAAGCAAAAGAUCCUAAGAAAUUACCAUGUUCCUUGUACCACUUCGAUGUCAACCUUUCCUCAUUUGUACCAACACAACAAUGAAAAGCAGGCAGACGUGCAGGAUCUGCAUAAAAUACAAUCUCAAUAAGUUAAAACAAAUGAAAAUAGGAGACAAGAAGAAACAGCAGAAACAACUCAUCUGGAUAACUCUUGUUAAGCGACUGUAAAGAUAGAACUAUUCCUUUUAACUAGUGUAAUGAGGACAAGAUGAUUAAUUUUACAUGCUUCCAAUAAAACAGUAUGUCCAUGAUAAGGCACAGGAAGAGAUGAAUCAACAAAAACAUAAAACUGCUAAACGCAAAUUGGACACAAUUAGCUUCAGUAUAUUGGAGAGAUGGUUCAAUGCUAUCAACUCUAGUAAGUCGGCAAAUAUGAACCACGCUAUUUACUGUAGUAAAUGUGCAUAUCAUGUUUCCUUCAGGAAAUCCUUCUGAUCUUACUAUUCUCCCCACCACAAACUCUUGAAUAUACAAAUUUCCUGUUCUAGCAAUUCUAACACAACAAUAACUAGAGCCCGGGAGGAUUCCACCAUUGAUGCUUGUAGAUGUUGCCCCAAAUUACAGUGCACAACAAAAAUUUCUUUGAAUCUAAAGACAGCAAGAUCAUCCAUUUGGAAGAAAUUUAAGAGAAAAAUCUGAACAGCGAUGAAGUGACUGAGAGAUACCUUCUGGAAGUAAAUAACCCUUGCUUAACGCAGGUCGUUCAUAAGGGGCAACCUGAAAAGAAUGGCAGAUUGUUUAGAAGAUGGGGAAAGAAAAAGCUCCAACAAGAGAGAGCCAUAAUGUGUUACUAUGUUGAAUGAUUGCCUCCGUAAGGAAGUAUCAUCGGUCUUAUUUCAUUAAUGACACUAAUGUUAACUCGGGGAAAGUAAAAGAUCAAGAUAGAUGAAAGGAGCAGAUGACUCAAAGCUAUAAUCUUCAUUAUUCUAAUGAUAUUAAAUUGGAUGGGGAUAACAAAACAUGGAGUUGGAAAGAUAAAAUAGCUAAGUUCUGUGCAUCUUUGCCUCCUCGAAAAUGAAUGAAGGAAGGGAGGAAGAGUAUAAAGGAAUAACCAUUCGGGCAGAGCUUCAAGUAGACAGUAUGCACUUGAAACUCAAUAGCAGAUCUACAGAUUGUUAGCAUUUCUAUCAUAAGUCAUUGUUAUUGGAAGCAGAACAAGUUUUUGGGAUACAUCAAAGCAAAUCAAGGAUCACUAGGAGCAAAACAGUUGUUAAUCACACCUCUUCAUAAACCAACAGCCUUAUAAAUAAUGAAGUUCUAACAAAAGAUACUACUUUGGAAGUAAUAUUCAAGUGACAUCAGUUGUUCCAGACCAAAGAACUAGCUGUUGUAAACAUAUUAUUUCCAUCAAUAUUAGGGUGAAGCUACAAAAAUUCAAAACUUUUCAAUUUGAUUCAAUUAUCCAAAUACUCAUCCUGCUGCCAAGAAAAUCAAAAUUUACACUACUAGGCCCAAAAAGUCAACACAAAACCCAUAAUUCAGCUCAGAUAAGAAGAAAACCCACUCAAAUUAGAUUACAUGCAAAAUUUCCCAAGAUAGAACAUUCACAACAUUGUAAGAAAUUAUAAAAACCAUCUAAAACACAGAAUUCAGCUCAGAUAAGAAGAAAAAAUUUCACAAGAUUGAACAUUUACAACAUUUUUUGUAAGAAAUAAGCAGCAAUACCAAAUCAAGAAAGAACAAGAAGAAGACGAAGACAUCAAAAACCCAUAAAUUAAAGCUAAAACUGAGCUUAGAGAACCAAAAAAUAGCCUAUUUGACUAGUCAAAAUCAAGAAAAUAAUACAACAACAGUGAAAAAAAGUGAGGAAAAAAGUACUAAUAUUUCCAGGUUCCCAAGAUUGGACAUCUACAAUAUUUUAAGGGAACAAGUAGCACCAAUACCCAAAUAAAGUAACAACAAAAUGAGAACAAAAACAUCAAAACCCCACAAAUUAAAGCUGAAAGUGAGCUCAGAGAAGCAAAAAAACAACCCAUUUUAAUAGUCAAAAAUCAAGAUCUUAAUAGAAUAUUAGUAAAGAAAGUAAGAAAAAAAAAAAGUAAUAAUAUAUUACAGGUUCUUCAGAAAUAAUGCAGAGUUCACCAUGAGAGACACCACGUUUAACAAAUUCAUGAGCAGCAUGACCAGCAGCAACACCUCCUCCCAAUAUUACAUACACAAAGGCCCUACCCAUUUUCCUCACAAAAUUCUAUGUACCAAAAACGCUAAUUUAAUAUCUUACCCCUUUUAAUUAAAAAUAAAAUAAAUUGAUUACGGAUCAUUCAGUUAACGUGGGGCUGUAGCAAUUUCUCGCGCUUCUUUUACCAUUUUGCCCUUUUCGAUAAUUCCUUAAAAUCUUUCCAUAUAAAAGCCCCUAAGGUUUUCUUUUUGUUUCCCUUUUAGCCCUGGAUUUUGAUGAUCAACUCCCCCGUCAAAAAAAAAGUGACAUACUUUUUUUAUUUUUUUUUAGUUUGUUUCCGAAAAAAAAUAAAAAUUUAUAAUAUUUUAAUUUAAAAUUUUCACAUGAAUAUUUAUGAUCAUAAAAUUAAUAGGUAUGUUGGUAUAUUUAUAUAAUUUUAAUUUAAAAUCAUAAAAUUCAAAACUCUUCUUUAUUUUUUUAAAUUCAUUGUCAAGUUGAAAUAGAACAUUAUUUUAAAACAGAGAAAGUAUUAUAUAGUAUGUCUAUUUAGUUUAUGACCUCACAGGACAUACUAGUAAGAUAGGACUUGUCUUGCUCUUACAAGUUUUUGUAGGACUAUUGUCGUAGUUUCUUAUUUUUUUAUUUAUGUUAAUAUUUUUCUAUGUUCGAUUAUAAUAUUAUUUGUUGUUAUUAUUUUUGAUGUUUUGUACUGUUAUUGGGUCUUUUUUUAGUCUGUUUUCAUCUUGAGUUAGAGGUCUUUCAGCAACAACCUAUCUAUCUUACUCUGGGAUCAAGAUAUAAGAUCUAUAUACAUAUUAUUUUUUUCAAAUCUCAUUUUAUGGGACUAAAUUGUUGUUGUUAACUUCAUAGUUUGAGAAUAGUACAAUUCCCAAGCCAAUGCUCCCUUCUUUUCAUUUAAUUUGUUUGAUUUUGAUAUGAUAUAGAGUUAAGAAUAAUAAAAAGAUUUUUAAAGCUUGUAGUCUUAAAUUAAAAAUGCAUAUAAUAUAUUAAAAUCUUAUUUAAUUUCAUAAUUUUAAAUAUAUUAUGUUAAAAAUUGAAAUUCAAGAAUUAUCAUAAAAAAGAUAUAGUAUAUAUUUUUUAGAAAAAUUAAUAGACUAAAAUGGAAAGUAAGUUAAACAACUUGAAACUUAAACAUUACUCCCUCAGUUUCAUAAUAAGUGAAUUGUUAGAUUUUGACACACAGAUUAAAGAAAAAGCAUUAAAGACAUAAAUUUAACACAACUUUUCAUUUUUACCCCAAAAAAAGAAAAAAUUGACCUUGUAUUAAAGAAAAAAGCAUUAAAGACAUAAAUUUAACACAACUUUUUAUUUNNNNNNNNNNNNNNNNNNNNNNNNNNNNNNNNNNNNNNNNNNNNNNNNNNNNNNNNNNNNNNNNNNNNNNNNNNNNNNNNNNNNNNNNNNNNNNNNNNNNNNNNNNNNNNNNNNNNNNNNNNNNNNNNNNNNNNNNNNNNNNNNNNNNNNNNNUGUAAAAUUAGAUUUAAGUGUUGUAAGAAAAGAUUAAUUUUUAAAAAUAAAUUGAAAAAAAAAAAAGUCUUUUGAAACGAAUGUAGUGCUGAUAAAUUGAUGAAUCAAAAGAAAAAUUAUUUCUUUAUUUGUUUCUUGUUGUUGUUUAAUUAGGUAGGCGUAGACGGGUAGUUUUUAGGGAAUUCCUUUUGUAGGGUCGGUGGAUAGGGGGGCCCAGUAGAGGAAAAGCAGUACUAUUGAUACACGUGGAGUAAGAUAUGAUCUUUUGCAUAGGGAUGUGUGAUGGACGGUUGAUGAUCAAGUUGACUGACGUGGUGGCUCCUGGAAUGAUCAUAUUAUUUUGAGGGGAAAAUAAAAGAUAGGCUAAAUCCAUCGACGAUCCUUAAAUUUGGCAUCAUCUUUCACUUAGACACCUCAAGUAGACGUUGUUUACUUUUAACACCUCAAGUAAAUAUAAAGUGUGUCAUUUUGACACUUUUUGCUGAAUCAACAAUGAACGUGUGAUACACGCAUUGAAAGCGCAUUUGAGGGACGUUUUUAUAAUUUUUUUGCUCUCACUCUUUCAAUCCAUUAAAUUUCCACCAUUUUUUACCUUUUCUUAACACAUUCUUAUGCUAAUUUUUAUUUGAUUGAUCAAAUUAACAGAGCAAAAAAAAAAAAAAAAGGGUUAAAUCAAGAAUCUUACAUUUUUAAGAAAGAAGAAAUCAAAAAAUAAGAAUGGUUAAAUCAAGAAAUAAAAAUUCUUAAUUUUUUCGUGUGUUGACUUUAACCAAUUCUUGUUUCUUAAAAUGAAGAUGAUUGAGAUGAUGUUAAUGGUGUUAUUAUUUGCUUGAAAAAAAUGUACUUGAAAAGAUUAAUGGUGUUAUUAUUUGCUUUACAAAAAUGUUAUUAAUAGUGUACAAAAAUGGAGAGGCAGCAGGGGUGUUUUGAAGAAGAUGAAUUCUACGUGGAGUAGAGAGGUUGUGGUGUUUGGAGAAGAUGAGUUUGGUGCCUGCCAUGAAUCAUCUCAAAGAGGAGGAAAUAAAUUUUGUGUGUGUUUAGUGAAGGUUCAUCGAUGGCUUCCUUGUUGAAAUUUCAAAAAUUUAGAAUUUUAGAGGGUGAGGGUGAGUUAGAGAAACAAUGUUGGGGUGGAGUAUGGGGGUGGGAUGGGAGGCACUGCUGCAUUUAGAAGAUGAUUUUGGAGGGUGGGAGUAGGGGGUAAGGGGGGCGACAUUGUUGUAGGAUAAUUUGGAGAAGAUAAUGUUGGGGUAGGGGGAAGGAAGGGGGAGGGUGAUUAUUGAUUAUUUUAAAAAAAUUAAAUUAAUAAUUUAAAAAUUAUUUUUUUAGAAAAAUGACACAUCUUGGCAUAUUAUUUAUCACUUUCCACAUCAUCAGGCGCGUGUAAUACACGCACACAGUAUAAAUUUGCUGAUUCAGCAAAAAAUAUCAAAAUGACACUUUAUUGUCACGCCUCAAAUCCUAUUGGGGCGGACUGACACUCAUAACCGAGGAGGCCCGGGAGAACUAGCUCAUAACCUUAUACUUCCCAUGCAUACCUCUAUGACAACCCGAAAUUCAGACAACAUCAUGUCGCAUAUAAAAGGAAAUAAUCACCUGUAUAAGCUCGAGCACACAUAUAUAUGUAUAUANNNNNNNNNNNNNNNNNNNNNNNNNNNNNNNNNNNNNNNNNNNNNNNNNNNNNNNNNNNNNNNNNNNNNNNNNNNNNNNNNNNNNNNNNNNNNNNNNNNNNNNNNNNNNNNNNNNNNNNNNNNNNNNNNNNNNNNNNNNNNNNNNNNNNNNNNNNNNNNNNNNNNNNNNNNNNNNNNNNNNNNNNNNNNNNNNNNNNNNNNNNNNNNNNNNNNNNNNNNNNNNNNNNNNNNNNNNNNNNNNNNNNNNNNNNNNNNNNNNNNNNNNNNNNNNNNNNNNNNNNNNNNNNNNNNNNNNNNNNNNNNNNNNNUAGGCUUGUGCCCCUGGGAUACCACCCAUAAACACAUAAAUAGGGAUCGACCCAUGAUAGGCUUAUGCCCCUGGGAUACCACCCGAUAAGAGAGAACUUCCAUCACUUAGUUCAAUUAAUCUUUGAGAUUGUUAUUUCGGUCGCCACCGCAUUUUUGAUACUUUGAAACAAUGAUACAUCAAUAAGAGACAUAUAAAUAGACCAUCAAUGCAAUAACAAUGAAGUAAGAACUCAUUGGCACAUCAAUGAAGUGUUUUGGAGUCAUCAAUGCCAUAACAAUGAAGUAGGAACUUAUUUGUAUAUCAAUGAAACGUUUUGGAGUCAUUAAUAGCACAUGGAUCUUGUUUGAGUAACCGGAUACCUUCUGACAUUCAUUAGUGCAAUAAACAUGUAAGAUUUGGAAAACAAGUAAGUAUUGGAAUGUCUUGACAUCUUGUAGGGUGGAAACAAGUUCAUUGGUAACGUAGGACAUCAUACAAAACCAUUAUGGAUCACAUGUUAUUGAAUAACUUUGGAAACUUUCUUAAUAGAACAAUUGUUCACUUUCAUGCCAAAGAUAUGGUAUAGAGUAUGCUUUACAUACCUGACUGUCAACCUUCAAUACUAGUCCCAAAUGGACUUCUCGUCUUUUCGGAUUACUUAUCUACAAUGAACAUAUAUAGCAAUCUAGUAUUAGCGACCAAACGUCACAAUUCAAUUAUUUGAAUUCACCAAACUAGUGGUUAAGUAGUAAGCCUUAAUUACACCAUAAAGGGUGUCACUUUAACCCUCUUAUACUCCAAUUACAUUCACAUGCCAUGCAUAUUCAUACAACAUCCUCCAAUAUCAAGUUUGGAUUCAUUUAUCCUUCCAACCAAUCCAUUAAACCACAUUGAGCCAUAGACAUAAAUAAUCAUUAAUUCAAUAGUAUAUCACCAUAUCCACCUUCCAUAACUCAAUUACCAUAUCCGCCUUCCACAAUUCAAUACAACCAAAUCAUGCAAAAUAGUCCAUAACCCUAUUUUCAUCACUUUUCAAUAACAACCAAUACAUAUAAUCCUUUAUCACACAUAUACAUAUGGAAAAGAACAAAGGCAAACAAUAUUCAUACCUUAGAAUUCACCUCUUGAUUAUGCAAUCCUAUUUGCACAAAUAAUAGGUGUCGUUCGAAGCUCUCGAGAUGACAAACGCAGUUAUCGGAUUACUUUGAAAUAUCUACGAUUGAAUCAAAAGUAAUUUAAAGGUCAAAUUUGGCCAGAGUUUGUUCUUUCUCAAUGAUUGAUGAUGAAAAUGAGUUUUUGAACUCAUAUACAUGUAUAUAUACACAUAUUCCCGUCCAUAAUAUAAUAGGAAAUGACCAAAAUGCCUUUAAAAUUUAAAUAAUGUCAAAUCGAUCUUUUGGUGGACUGUUUUGGUAAGCUAAAGUAGAUCGACCAUAACUCUUUGCUAUAAUCAUCAUCUCAAUACCACAUCAUCAAUACCACAUCAUCACCCCAAAUUCCUUCACAAUUUAACAUAAUCCAACCAUGCACAAGAAUAAUCCAACAUCAUUUCCAAUCAUCUUUCAACAACAAUCAAAUAACAUACUUCUUAUGCUCACAUGCAUAUAUAUAUAUAUAUACAUAUCCAUAUAAAUAACACCAACAUAAUUUACAUCCUUACCAAAAAAAAUGGCCCUUUUGAUUUCGAAGUCCUGUUGGCACAAAUAAGGGGUGCUUCUCGAAGCCCUUGAGACGGUGAACACAACUACGGAAUCAAUUUGGAUUUUCUACGGUUGAAUCACAAGAUAAUUGGAGUUGAACUUAGGCUAGGGUUUCUUAUUCUUCAAUGAUUUGGAUGAUAAAUGGUGGAUAUAAGGCUAAGUAUAUGUAUAUAAUGACCAAUUUUCGUCCAUGAGGUGAUGGAAAAUGACCAUAUUGCCCUUAAAAAUUUAAGUAAAUCCGAAUCUGUCCAUGGUGGACUGUUUUGAUAGGCUAAAGUAAAUCGGCCAUAACUCUUUGCUCCGAUAUCGGAUUUGGGUGAAAUUGGUAUCGUUAGAAAGAUAAUUCAAAGGUCUUUCAUUUAAUAUAAAUUAAUCCACCCAGUUCGUCCUGUACAAGUAGUUAUGAUCGUUUGAAGUUGACCCUAAAAAUCUGUUUUGAGAGGCUGAAGUAAAACGAGUAUAACUCCUUACUCAGAUGUUGGAUUUGGAUGAAACCAAUUUCAUUGGAAAGAAGACUCAAAGAUCUUUCUUUUGAUAUAUGGUAGCUCAACCAGUUCAUUAUAUUGAGGGAGUUAUGAUCGUUCAAAGUUGACCCAAAAAACUGGCAGGCCUCAGUAGUUUCCUGCACAUUUUACUGUUCACAUCCCGGCCACCGUUUUAAAGUUUCGAACGAGCUCGCUUAUAUCCGAAACUUAUCCGUUUUUGGAAAUCUUUAUAUCGUUGGAAAGCUUAUUCAAUAACCUUCGUAUGGAACCAUCGACGGGAAAAUUCCGAUAUAAAUAAAGUCGAUUCCUAUACACCUAUAAUCAAACUAUACACUUGAAACCAUCUCAAAAUAAUCAAUACUCAUACUUAAACUCAUAUAUACCUAACUUAGGAUCAAUACAUAUACUCCAACACAUAUAACAAUGACUAAUGCACGUAAUUAAGUACGGGGUGUUACAUCCUUCCCCCCUUAAGGACAUUCGUCCUCGAAUGUGAAUGUAGUUAUUUAGCCGAAACAAGUUCAAGUCCACCAUUAACAUUCACAUCAUCACAUAAAUACUAUGCAUAUAUAAACAAAAACUUACUUGUUAAUGUUCUAACUCCGUUUCUUGAACUUCCUCUUCAUCUUUGAACAAAUGAGGGUACUUAGAUUUCAUUGCUUCCUCAGCUUCCCAUGUAAUCUCUUCCCUUUGUUGAUUUCUCCAAAGUACUUUCACCGAUGCUACUUCUUUAUUUCUCAUCUUCUUAACUUGUCGAUCUAAUAUAGCAAUAGGCAUCUCCUCAUAGGUAAGAUCUGCUGUUACUUGCACAUCUUCAGUAGAAGUAAUAAGGGACGGAUCUCCGAUGCACUUUCGAAGCAUCGAUACAUGAAAUACUGGAUGCACUGAUGAUAGUUCCUGGGGUAGAUCUAAUUCAUAAGCAACUUGCCCACAUCUUCGAAUAAUUUUAUACGGGCCUAUAUAUCGUGGACUCAACUUUCCUUUCUUGCCAAAUCUCAUCACCCCUUUCAUUGGCGAUACCUUCAAAAAUACCCAAUCGCCUAACGAAAAUUCUAGCCCUCUUCUUCUACUAUCCGCAUAUGACUUGUGUCGACUUUGGGCUGUUUUCAACCGUUGCUGAAUCACCUUGACUUUUUCUAUGGCUUGAUACACAAGAUCCGGUCCGAACAUAAGAGUUUCACCCGCUUCGAACCAUCCUAUUGGUGAUCUACACUUUCUCCCAUAUAAAGCUUCAUAUGGUGCCAUUUUGAUACUUGAAUGAUAGCUAUUAUUGUAGGCAAACUCAAUAAGAGGUAAAUGAUCAUCCCAGCUGCCUUUAAAAUCUAUAACACAUGCUCGUAGCAUAUCUUCAAGUGUUUGAAUGGUGCGCUCUGCUUGUCCAUCCGUCUGAGGGUGAAAAGCUGUACUCAGAUUCACUUGUGUUCCCAAACCCCGUUGGAAAGACUUCCAAAAGUUUGCAGUAAAUUGAGUUCCCCGAUCCGAUAUAAUAGAAGUUGGCACUCCAUGUAAUCGGACUAUUUCUUUAACAUACAGCUUCGAAUAUUCUUCAACUGUGUAAGUGGUCUUAACGGGUAAGAAAUGUGCGGAUUUAGUAAGCCUAUCCACAAUCACCCAUAUAGAAUCAAAUUUUCGAGCUGUACGAGGCAAACCUGUAACAAAAUCCAUGUUGAUCAUGUCCCACUUCCAAAUUGGAAGAUCUAUGCAUUGCAUAUAGCCUCCGGGUUUUUGGUGCUCAACUUUAACUCUUUGACAAUUUGGACAUUCAGCUACAAAUUCUGCAAUGCUCUUCUUCAUGUCAUUCCACCAAUACAUAUCUUUCAAAUCUUGAUACAUUUUGGUUGAUCCUGGAUGAAUGGAAUACCUUGAAAAAUGUGCCUCUGUCAUAAUCUUCUUUCUUAGCCCGUCUAUAUCCGGCACACACAAUCGGUUUUGGCACUGAAGUACUCCUUCUCGCGUAAGCUCAAAUGCCUUGGUCGCACCACUCUGAACGUUCUCCUUAAGAUGUAAUAAAAUAGGAUCUGCAUAUUGCUUCUCUUUCACUUCAGCUACUAAUGAAGAUUCCGCAGCAUUAUGUACGAUAAGCUCUUUAUUCGGAGUUUCAAGAAGGCGAACUCCCAAACUAGCUAACUGGUGAAGAUCUUUAACCAUCCCUUGACUUUCUAUAGGCGCCAUCAUAGCCUUACGACUUAACGCAUCAGCUACCACAUUUGCUUUCCCUGGAUGGUACAAGAUAUCAACAUCGUAGUCCUUUAAUAGUUCAAGCCAUCUACGCUGCCUUAAAUUUAGAUCCUUCUGAUUAAAAAUAUAUUGCAAGCUCUUAUGGUCAGUAUAUAUAUCAACAUGAACCCCAUAUAAGUAGUGGCGCCAUAUCUUUAAAGCAAAAAUAACUGCUGCCAACUCAAGAUCGUGUGUAGGAUAAUUUUUCUCAUGUGGCCGCAAUUGUCUAGAAGCAUAUGCUAUUACCUUACCAUGCUGCAUCAAUACACAUCCUAAACCAAUUCUGGAAGCAUCACAAUACACUGUAUACCCUUCGGUGCCUUCUGGUAGUACCAACACGGGUGUAGAAAUCAACUUGUUCUUCAAAUCUUGAAAACUCUUCUCACAAGCAUCAUUCCAUUGGAAUUUGGAUGCUUUAUGGGUUAGCUUGGUUAAGGGUGCUGAAAUGGAAGAAAAGUCUUUGACAAACCUUCUAUAAUAACCGGCCAACCCAAGAAAACUACGAAUCUCCGUAGGCGUUGUGGGCCUUGGCCAGUUCUUCACAGCUUCUAUCUUUUGAGCAUCAACCUUUAUCCCUUCACUAGAUACAAUAUGACCCAAAAAUGCCACCGACUUUAACCAAAACUCACAUUUAGAGAACUUUGCAUAAAGCUUACAAUCACGAAGAGUCUGCAAUGCCUGUCGUAAGUGAUUGGCAUGGUCCUCUUCUGAUCUAGAAUAAACUAGAAUAUCAUCUAUAAAAACUAUCACAAAUACAUCCAGGAAUGGCUUAAAAACCCUAUUCAUCAAAUCCAUAAAAGCUGCGGGUGCAUUUGUUAGCCCAAAUGACAUAACUAGAAACUCAUAAUGACCAUACCUUGUUCGGAAAGCUGUUUUGGGUAUAUCUUUUUCUUUGACCCUCACUUGGUGGUAACCUGACCUCAAAUCAAUCUUAGAAAAGCACUUGGCGCCCUGUAACUGAUCAAAUAAAUCAUCAAUUCUUGGGAGAGGAUAUUUAUUCUUAAUAGUCACCUUAUUCAAUUGCCGAUAAUCAAUACACAUCCUCAGGGAGCCAUCCUUUUUGCGUACAAAUAACACUGGUGCUCCCCAAGGGGAAAUACUAGGCCUAAUGAACCCCUUUUCUAGCAAAUCUUUCAAUUGCUCUUUCAAUUCUCGUAAUUCUGCUGGGGCCAUUCUAUACGGAGGAAUGGAGAUUGGUUGGGUGCCUGGUAUUACAUCAAUACCAAACUCUACUUCUCGUUCAGGAGGCAAACCUGGAAGAUCUUCAGGAAAUACAUCAGAAAAUUCAUUUACCACCGGAACAGCGUGAAGAGUUGGUGGCUCCGCUUCUGUAUCCCUUACUCUAACUAAAUGAUAUAUAUAUCCCUUGGAAAUCAUUCUUCUCGCCUUAAAAUAAGAAAUAAAUCUACCUCUUGGCACGCUAAUUUCACCUUUCCAUUCAAGGACUGAUUCAUUUGGAAAAUGGAAAUAUACCUUUUUCGUGCAGCAAUCAAUUGUGGCAUAACAAGACGCCAACCAGUCCAUACCCAUUAUAACAUCAAAAUCUACCAUUUCUAACUCCACAAGAUCAGCCAUCGUAUCACGACUACAAACAGUUACUAUGCAGUUUUGAUAAACCCUUCUAGCUAUAAUAGAUUCCCUAACCGGUGUGGACACUUUAAAUGGCUUAACUAAUAGUUUGGGUAUUCUUUCAAACUUUCGAGCAACCAAUGGAGUAACAUAAGAUAAUGUAGAAUCGGGAUCAAUUAAGGCAUAUACAUCAAAUGAAAAGAUAGACAACGUACCUGUAACCACAUCUGGGAAAGCCUCUAAAUUCUGUCGAUCCGCUAGGGCAUACGUACGAUUUUAAGCCCUGUUAGAACUCGUGGCUCCUCUAUCACCUCUAACACGACCCAUUGGUUGCGCACCCCUCCCUGAAUAAGGCAUCGAUGAUGAUGAUGCAACAAAUGACCCUGUAGGUCGUGCCAUACCCCCUAUGCCUCUUCGUGGACAUUCUUUCAUCAUAUGCCCCGACAUACUGUACCAAAAGCAAACAUUGGUCCCCAGCCCGCAUGCGCCCAAAUGAUACCUUCCACAUUUAUUUCAUGGCUCUCGAGGAGGUCUUGAUUGACUCAUAUUACCUUUCCUUUGGUACCCCACUGUCCACGAACUCUGAUUCUCAAUUCGGUGCCCAAAUUAAUUUCCUCUGGACCCUUGGAACUGUGGUGGGGCACUAGCUGCAGAAAAAAAAGAUAAUGGCCUAGGUGUUCUAGCAGAAAACUGUGGUCUGAACCCUCUUUGGGAUGCCAUAAACUGCCCUGUAAAUCUGGCCCUCUUGGAAUAUCCUCUCUCUAAUUCCUGUGUUCUUAUCCUCUGCAUUUGAUCUUCUAUUUUCCGUGUAAAAGCUUGGAUCCUCGCUAUGUCUAUAUCUUUGUUCAAAGCGGCAAUAGUACAAUCUCUAACCAGAUAUGGAUCCAUCCUAUCCACAUAUUGAUGAACUCUAUCAUCCAUAGCAGCUACAACAUUAGGAGCAUUUCUCGACAAAGAAUUAAAUCGGACUGUACUCCCUCACGCUCAUAUUCCCCUAACAAAGAUUUAAAAACCGAUCUGCACGGGCCUGACGAAUCUCAAAUGAAAGAUAAUGAUCAAGAAAUGCCUCUUUGAACUCUUUUCAAGUAGCUGGGGGUGCAUCAAUACCCCUAGAUUGUUUCCAGUCGUCUUACCAAUAUAUAGCCUCCCCUUUAAAUCUAUACACUACUAACUCCACUGUCUCUCUACCCGUUACAUGUAUAACAUCUAAGGCCCUUUGAAUUUGAUCAAUAAAGUCCUGUGGGUCCUCGUUAAGAUCUGAUCCAAUAAAAGUGGAAGGAUCCAUCUUAAGAAAAUCCUGUGUUCGAAGGCUAGCCGCCCUAUCUGUACUACUAGGACCCGUGGUAGGAAUGACUUGCCCUUGAGCUUGCCCAGCAACUAUACGAGUCAAAAGUUGCACUGCAUUUCUAAGAUCUUGAUCAACAGCAUUAAUAGGUGGCUCUGGGGAUAUAGUUCUCCUCCUCCUUAUUUCUUCCAGAGUGGAAGAAGUUUUUGAUGCAUGCUCACCUGGAGCCUCACUUUGAUUAGUUGGUAUAGUGGGCGACUUACUAGUCCACUCUCCGGUAGCCACAUCUACUUGCUUACUGGUAUUCUUGCUUCUGAUAACCUGCAUCAUUACUAUAAUAAGAGAAACAAACGAAUUCAGUGGUCAACUAUGACUUCAUACAUAAUAUAGGCUCUAUCGCACGAUCUAAGACAUGAAGAAAAGAAAUAAUUCCUAAAUCUCCAUAGCCUCCUGUUUAUAGAUGCGGUGCAUGACACACCCCUAUUGGGGCGGACUGGCACCCGUAACUGAGGAGGCCCGGGAGAACCAACUCAUAACCUUAUACUUCCCAUGCAUACCUCUAUGACAACUCGAAAUUCGAAUAACAUCAUGUCGCAUAUAAAAGGAAAUAAUCACCUGUAUAAGCUCGAGCACACAUAUAUAUGUAUAUACAAUACUUGGCCGUUGGAGCCAUCACGCCUAUUAACAAAAUACCACCUUGACUGUACAUUAGGUCUACAAAGCCUCUAGAUAAUACACAGAGUUUAACUAAGGUCGGGACACACCCCGCCAUAUAACUAACUUCUAUACAAUACCAAAAGUGACUGGAUAUGACACGAAAAGCCCCGAAGUAAACUGGAGCUCACCAAAAGCAGCUGGAUAUCCUGGAUCCUACUUGUGUGGUGUAUGAGAUGAGGUACCUGUGCCUGCAGCAUGAAAUGCAGGUCCCCCAUGGGGGACGUCAGUACGAAAUAUGUACUGAGUAUAUAAAGCUGUGGAUAAUCACAUAUGAUAUAGGAGCUCAAUAGAAAUCAGAAACAAGUGAAUAAAUCAAUAAUGGAAGCAACUUACAGAUGGAAAGAAGUAACAAGGCUAAAACUGUAACGACCCAAAAAUACAUCCUGGUCACCACACGGUGCUUAUGGUCCCAAAAGACCACAAGCUAACCCAUGAGCCGGUGUGAGCACUGAAUAAUAACAACAAAACAACAUGUGCGGAAUAUCCUAAUACGCCAUAAGGUUUUAAGUACUAAAAUAUUUUUGAAUCAUAAAUCUGAAAAUAAAUGUUGGAAAACAACUAUCAUAAAAUAAUGACAAACUGAAUGACGGUCUGAAGUGCAUGUCCGAAACUUUAACCAGUGAUACAGAUAUACCCUCUGUCGUACUCUAGGUAGAAAUAUAUCCCUGUCAUUAGUGAAAAAAUAUACUAAUUAAGUCCACAAUUAACUAAAUCAAAUUAUCUAAUUAUGUUUUUGGUCAAUAUAACCAAUCAUUCAUUCAAGAUUUAAAAGACACAUUUUCUCUAAUUUUCAAUGACUUUGCCCAUUUAUAAAUUAGUGAACUCGUGCUCAAAAUUCAUCACUUUCCAUAUGGAUCGCCUCGAUGUAGUUUCACAUCCUAUUAGAGUUGUCAAUAUGGGUCAGACCCAUUGGGUCGGCCUGACCCAGCCUGUACUUUGAUUGAAUUGGGCUUCAGUUUUUGCAGCCCAUUUAAAAACAUGGCUCUUUAGCCCCACUCGGAUAAGCCCAUGAGGUGUGGAUCUUGAGCAAUAUGGGUUAGACUAGCCCGUGGGAUGGCCCAUAAGCCAAAUACAUAGAUCUAUUUUGAUUGCUUAUUGUCACACCCCCUUUUUACCCAAAAAGAUUUUAUUUAAAGUUCGAAAGGAUUUUUAUUAUUAAGGUGACAAAAUGAAGAAGUUUGUUUUGAAGAGGAUUCAUUAUAUUCAAAACUCAGAGUCAGCACUUAGCAUAAUCCGGUGUGCCAAGUCAUCUUUGGAAAAUCCUUUCCAAAAUGAUUUGACUCUUUAAGACUGGUUUGCAAACAGAGAUUUCGGCUAAGGAAUUUUGUUGAUCGAGGGAAAGGUGUUAGGCACUCCUCGAUCCCGUGGUUCGACCACGGUCGCUUGGUGGAGCAUAUCGGCUAAUUUGACAUUACAAAUGUAUAAACCACAUAAAACACAUAACAAUCAAUCAAACACACGAAACAAAACAAAUCCAAAAAUAUAAUAUCCAAUCCAAUUAUUACAACCCGUAAUAAAAAAGGUACUAAAAGGUAAACCUACACUAAUCCUAAACUAUGCUCCAAUGCUUUACCCGAUGCCUCGGGCCUUCAUCACGAACAUCCUCCGGGUACAAUAUACCUCGGGGCAUUUCCUGAUGAAUAAAUACAAAUGGCUUCGGGGCAUUCCCCGGCUAAAUGAAUACAAUUGAUUCAAAUGCGGUAAAUAAAACCAUUCAACACAUAUCUAAAACAUUUCACCAAUUUCACAAUCCAUAAGUUUGCCUACCCCUGUCGUUUGUCUGAUGAUCUGCGGCCUAAAUAUGAUGUUAUCAAACUUAACAAAGUCUGCUUUCAUGCUGAAUAAGGCAAUCAUCUCUAAACCAACAUAAAUCAAUAUUCACUUUUAACAAUUUUUGAUCUUUUCCCCCAAAAUCCAACUUAAUCCUUAAUAAGAUAUUAUUUUAUCACACAAACCAUAAUCAAUCCAUAAUCAAGGAAAUCAAAUACCAAAUCAAAACAAACAACAAUUCACAUCAUCAUAGAUCAACCAAUACACCGUAUUUGAUUUAUAGCAUCGAACAUGAUAAAUAACAAAAUAAAGAAGAGAAGGAAUAGAAUUGGACCUCGAUUGAGGCUUUUAUUGUGCCAAAUUGCGUGAUAGAACGCAGAACCGGAUCCAAAAACCUCAGAUGAAAUCUCAAACGAGCCAACUCCAAACUGAAAAUCACGAGCCAACUCCAAACUGAAAAUCACAGGACAGAGAGAAAUCCGGACAGAUUUCGAUGGAUUCCUGGGCGUUUUAGGCUGUUUUUGAGGCGUUGGUUGCUGGAACUACUAUUUUCGCGACCCAGAGCUCCAGUGAGCUAGACGACGGUGGAGAUCGAAUAAAACGGGUCGAAUUUCGAGCUCCCUUGUUGACCCUAUUCUCUCUCUCCCCCCUUUGAUCCCUCACUUCUCUCUCGAUUUUACUCUUUCAUCAUCUCUCUCUUCGUUACCUUCUGUUAUCUCUCCAUCUGUCACUGUGUGGCUGUGUGUAUGGAGUUUUUUUUGUGUGGAGAAGAUGAGUAUAACAUGGUUCUCUGGUCAGUGAGAGUAUUAUUGGCUUUUUUUGUGAAUCUCCUCCCAAUUCCUGUGUGUUCUUGGUGUGUAUAUACGUCUUUUCUUUAUGGAAAAGAAAUGUAGGGGAGUCACGUGAGGGGAAAGGCAACCUAGAAGAGAGGUGGGGUAGGGGUGGGGUAGUCAGGUGAUUUAUUUUAAUUGGGUAGGUUGUUAGGAUAAGAUAAAAUUAGUUAGUGGUUAUUGUUUUGUUAUUUUGUGGAGGGAUUAUCACACGGGUGAGGGUGCGUAGUAAAGUGUGAGCUAAAAAUGAAUAAAAUUAGAUUUGGGAUGGAAAAAAUUAGGUGUCUACAGUAUGCCCCCUUUGAAUGUAAAAAUGAAGUGUUUUAGACAAAGAAGUAGACAACAAGACAAAAUUUUGUCCCGGCCAUUAUUAAAAGAAUGAAACAGGUAUCUGAAAGGAUUGGAAGGAGAUGGACUAUACCGAGUUGGAGAGUCGAGUGAGGUCCCAUCGAGGUUCUGGUUGCGAUCUGUCAUUACAUCAAAAAAUGAAAAAUUACAAGAGUUAAAAAUAUAAAUAAAAUUACAUAAGUCUUAUCUAUGCAGCUUCUUUUAAACUCUUGACUUGAGUUUCAUCACCAUAUUCUUCAAGCGGGCUUCUGACUUGCAAUUUUUCAAUUUGUUGCUUGGUUUUCAAUUGUUUCACCUUGUUGCUUGACUUUUUAUUUAUUCACCUUGUGCUUCGGGCGGGCUCCAAUGUUGUUUGAGUUAUCAAAACAAGGAAGUGCGUCUCCUUACAAAUGCCCGCUUGAAUUACCCAAACAAGGAAGUUUGUCUCCUUACAGAUGUUGCUUGAAUUACCCAAAUAAGAAAGUACGUCUCCUUAUAGAUGUUGCUUGAAUUACCAAAAUAAGGAAGUGUAUCUCCUUACAAAUGCCGAUUGAAUUAUCCAAACAAGAAAAUUCGUCUCCUUAUAAAUGCCGCUUGAAUUAUCCAAACAAAGAAAUGGGUCUCCUUACAAAUGUUGCUAGAAAUACCCAAACAGGAAAGUGCAUCUCCUUAAUAAUGCCUCUUGAAUUACCAAACAAAGAAGUGCGUCUCUUUGCCAAUGCCGCUUAAAUUACCAGAACAAGGAAGUGUGUCUCCUUACCAAUGCUGCUUGAAUUACCCAAACAAAGAAGUGCGUCUCCUUACCAGUGUUGUUAGAAAUACCCAAAUAGGAAAGUGUGUCUCCUUACCAAUGCCUCUUAAAUUACCAAAAUAAGGAAGUGCAUCUCCUUACCAAUGCUGCUUAAAUUACCAAAACAAAGAAGUGUAUCUUCUUAUCAAUGUUGCUUGAAUUACCCAAACAAGGAAGUGGUUCUUAUUAUAGAUGUUGCUUGAAUUGUCCAAACAAGGAAGUGCAUCUCCUUACAAAUACCGCUUGAAUUACCAAACAAGGAAUUGCGUCUCCUUACAAAUACCGCUUGAAUUACCAAACAAGGAAGUGCGUUUCCUUAAAAAUGUUGUUUGAAUUACCAAAACAAGGAAGCGUGUCUCCUUACAAAUGUUUCUUGAAUUAUCCAAACAAGGAAGUGUAUCCCCUUACAAAUGUCGCUUGAAUUACCAAACAAAGAAGUGCGUCUCCUUACAAAUGUUACUUGAAUUUUCCUAGGAAAUGCGUCUCCUUGACAAGGAAGUGUGUCUCCUAGAGAUAUUGAAUUAUGAGUUUUACCAUGGUUUUGAUUACCGAACUUGUGCAACAACAUUGCCUCUUGUAUUUGAAGAAGUGAGAAAUUAUGCCAUGCAUUUUGGAUCAGGCUGCCUGAUCUUUCCAUCCAAACUUUCUCCCAAUUGUUGUUGAGUUAAUGGCCUUGAAGCUGAGUUGUUUUCUUAAGUCAAUUGUAUUUAAGACCUCAUUCGGCUAGUGACACCUUGAAGGGUUUUGUCAACAAGCCUCUCUCAUUUUUCUCUCAGCUCACUAUCACCUUAUGGUGCCCGUGAGGGUCUUCACCAAUAAGACUUUCUCAUUUUUAUUUCUCUCUACUUACCAUCGCCUUAUGGUGCCCGUGAGGGUUUUUACCAAUAAGGCUCUCUCAUUUUUAUUUCUCUCCUGAUUCCUUAAGCAGAGGAAGAUAAGUAGUUCCCAAAAUGCAUUAUCAUAUCCAUUGCAUGCUUAUCUUUAAUAUUCUCAAAGAUUGAUCUGAAGGUUUUUCUUUAGUUGUAACUUGGCUUUUGGAUAGGAUUAGAAAUAAUGGAUAGCAUGAGGCUCAAACAACACUUGAAGUGGGAUAAAACUUACAACUUUUGGAAUCAACUCAAACAAUGAGGAUUAACUCAUGCCCCAGUUUCUUUUGACUGGCAAUUCUAAAUUAUUUAUUUGGUGGGAUCGAGCCCAGAGCAGGGCAGUAUACGUAUCUUACCCCCAGGAGAGGAGAAUCAGGUCAUGCGUAGUUCUGACAGCUUGUUCUUUUGAUUGAUUCUGAUUUUUGUUUCUUUAUUUUAUCUUUUCUCUUUGGGAUUUUUUUACCCUAUUUUUGACAUUCUUCUCUUUUCUUUCCUUUUGGACACAUUUUUUUCGACACUUUUUUUUUAAGUUUUACUGACUCUAUCCUGAUUCCAAAAGAGGGGCAUGAAAGAAAAAAAACUAAGGCUCAAAUGGGAUAAACAGAGGAUGACACAAUGCUUGGAUAGCCGAAUGAAAUGCCUUCGUCAUAUCAAUUCUUGAAAAUGCAAGUACAUAUCACGCAAUAUGAAAUGAAAGAUGAAGAUCAUUUGUGACACCUUUAACAACACUAACUUCAACUGAGCAUGUGUGCCAAUUCUUCUUCUAACCUUGUCAGAGCAUGUGUGCCAAUUCUUCUUCUAACCUUGUCAAACAUACAACUCCACUUUCGUUGUACAUUCCUUAUGCUGAAGGACUCAUGAAUUCGUGGAGCUGAUCUUUUUUCUAUUUCUUUUGACAUAGUAUCGCACAUUCACUACUUGACCUAAUUGAGAUAUGUCUUUCAAUUAAUGACCAAGUUAUUGUCAUGAUUCUCAAAAUAAUUGCCUUAAUUUUCAAAGAAGGCUUCAACUUGAUCAGCAAAUUCCCCAGCACUCUAUCUAUUUUCUCAGAUGCUCUCUUUUUCUAACUUUAACCCUCUGAUUCAAUGUUCAUGCUUAAACUAGAUUUCAAGAUCUGACUGAAAAUUUCACUAGCAUGCCAUAUCACUAAAGUCAACAUAAAAUGUACUAUGAAAAAACAAAUAAACAAACAACACAUUUAAAACACAAAGUAAAAUGAGACACUUUAUUUAGUUAAAAUAAAAGCUAGAAGGGUUUGAACAUAAAUGACAAAAGGACAAAACAAGAUAGAUCCCGAACUACAAACUUGGAAUAAUUGGCAACACAGAAAAUAAAACAAAAUAAGCUACCAGACCUCUUCCUAGUAGGGAAAGGGGCGACUUCUCAAUUGCUCAGCCUGACAACUUAGCCACUGGUUUGCAUAUCAACAUGACUGGAGCUUCCCUCACUGUCAAUGUUCUGCACCAUAAUUGAUCCAUCUUAAAUCAUCUUUUCAAUUUCUCUUUUCAAAUCUCGACAAUAUUCAAUACUAUGACCCUGAGUAUCAGAAUGAUACACACAUCGUGCAUUAGGAUUAAAAUUUCUUAACCGCCGAUUAGAAGUGUGCCUAAGGAGAAGAGUAAUCAUGCCCUUCUGUCUCAAUCUUUGGAACAAACUGGCAUAGGAUUCCCCAUUAGGAGUGAAAUUAUCCUUUUCUUCCUCCUCCUUGCGAACUCUGGCCUCGAAUGAAACUUGUAUUUAGAAGUUUCUUGUAAAUUUAUAGGGGUCGAGGAUGAUGUUCAGGGACAAGUGCAUGCCAUUGUGGAUAAGAAGACGUAUGGGUACACAAUUGUGUAUUGUUCAAAGGAUAUUGAGAAAGUAGAAUGAAACUCCUUGGAUUUUGAAAAGAGGAACCUUGUUGCAUAUGAGUAAGUGGAUUUGAUAUGUAAGGUCGAGAUUGAGGCUAACAGUAUUGGUGAGUUGGAACUCCUAAACUCUGCUUUGGUCCUGGCACGACAAUAGGUGCGUUUUCCAUCUUCUUUCUUUCAGUUUCCCUUGAUUGAUUGCAAUAUUGUCUUAAAUGUUUCACAGAAUCAUGUUGUCCACCAAGCUCCUCAAAUUUUGAUGUCUCAUAGCUUGGAUGAAGGUUAACACUUGACAACAUGCCCCAGUUUUUGUAUAAAACAUCUUCAUAGCCUAUAAGUCCCAAGGAACUUUUCAUAUCAUUUUCUACACUCUUAACUUUCGCAACCAUUUCCUCUGGUCUUCUAGUAUGCUAGGCUUCUUAGUAAGAAAUUUUAGCGGUCCACUUAAUUCAACGGUAGGCUCAAGAGUAUAACAAUGAUCAUCAAGAGUAUUGAACAUGGAUUCACUAGUAGACUGGGGAAGCACAAUCAUUGGAUUGAUAGCCAAAGUGGAAGCCUUAGUAGAAGGUUGAGCAAACAAAGCACAGACGAUAUGUGGUGCUGUGAAUGUGGUAGACUUAUACUGAGGAGCUAAAGAAAGAAUGGUGGAAGUAUUAAGAUGCAUUUGACGGGGAAUAGAUUCUGAGGCAUGCUGUGGUGCAUCAACAACAGAAGAAAACUGACUUUGCGAUUUUGGUAGAAGACUCAAAGUAUUUGCAGGGUCAAAAGUGGGGAACGGAGGUGGAGGUAGCCCACUGGCCCAAGCUCGGUACAUUCCAUCAUUUGUUGUCUCAGUCUCAAAUUCUCUUCCUUUAAACUCUCAAUUUCCCGAAUCUUUGUUUCAUCCAUGAUGCCACUCUCUAUAUUCUUGUUGGACACAACUAACCCUUCUUUGGAUUUGGUGUGAUAUGGAGGAUCAUCCAGGAAGCCACAAACCAACCACCUUAAACUAACUGAACAAGAGGCAACAAAUAUGUUAGAGUUCAAUAUUUUUUAUUCAAAACCUUUUUUUCUUUUAGAAAAGAUCACCGAACCCAAGAAGGGCGCUUACAUAUCUUACCCCCGAAAGAGGAGAAUCAGGUGUGCAUAGUUCGUGAAGUUUUACCAAAAUGGCCAACCAAACUCUUUUUUCUUUUUUUCUUGAAACUUUAAGAAGAAAAGAAAAUAACGAUUUGUCAAAAGAAUUGACGAAAAUAUCUUUUUUUUAAAUUUUUCAGCUUUAACGUCCCUAUACAAAGUGAAAUCUAUGAUUACCAAAGAAAAUCUUUUUGGGUUUUCAGUUUUAAAUUUCAUAUGAAAAUGAAACUUGAACCUAUUAAAGGAAAAUCUUAUUGUAGUUUUCUUUUAAAGAUGUAUAUGAAACACUUACUUUAAAUAAAGAGUGAAGAAUUUUUUUUUUUUGAAUUUUUCAAAUAAGAUCCCUGAACCAACAAUAGGUUGCCUACGUAUCUCACUCCCGAGAGAGGAGAAUCAGGGGUGCGUAGUUCGUCCAGAUUGGACAAAUAAGGAUUAACUAGCAAAUUGAACCCUGAUUUAAGAGACACUACCAAAGACAAAAGAUAAAAGCCGUUAAUAAAAUAUUUUUUGGGGUUUUUCAAUUAGACACUUCACAUAAAACUGACACCAACAACUAUGAAAAAAAUCUUUUUAAAAUUUUCGAAUUAUGAAUGCAUGGUAAGGAAAUAAAAGGAGUCCUUCGGGAUAGCCUAGUUGGUUUGGAGGGCUGUUACCCACCCGAGUGACCAGGUAUUGAUUCCCCCCUCAAUGUCUUCUGGGUUUGAGCCUAUUGCACAGGGUUGCCUAGUGCGGUUUACAUCCCCAUGUGGUUUGCAGGCUAUUGCAUCGGGGGAGUUUACCCAGUGCGCACACAGUGCUCACCCGAAGGGCAGAGGGUGUGGCAGAGGGUGUAGCGACUGCAAAUUUUCCUGGAAAGUUUUCAAAAAAAAAAAAAAAAAUCUUUUGGAUGUUUUUUUUUAGAAAAUGAGUGCGAAAGGUAAAAAAUCUUUUGAAUUUUUGGAUUGUGAAAAAAAAAUCAAAAGCCAUAAAGGAUUUUAAAAAUUUACGAAAAACUCCUUUUUUUUACUCACCUUUUUUUUUCUCCUCUUUUUCAACACUUUGUUGUCUACACACUUUACUUCAAACACAUGUUUUCCCCAAAUCGGUCCGUCAAAUGACCGCAUUGCCCUAAGAGAUGUAACAUUUAGCACGUAGGGAUGCUUUAGAGGUGAGUCUCCUACAAAGGACCAUGUAGGUCCUGCUAGGUCUUAAUAUGAUGUAGAUAGUCAUGUACUAAAGGCUGACCUAUGCUGGGUUUACUAACAAGGCUGUUCAGGGGCGCGUAUCGUCGAUAAUGGCUGCGAGAGCUUUCCACCCACUCUAUAACACCGAUGGCUCCCCACCUAAAAUAAGAGUGACUCAACUAGAGGUCGUGCACAACACGUGUACUACAGACUUGUUGCAGAAAGAAUAACUCUGGUUAUACACAUGAUGUCAGAUAUAAAGCGGUAACACGUAAGGAAAGACUGUAAACAAAGAGCACGUAGACCAUCAACAAUGAUAAAACAAUAACACAAAACAAACAAACAAAAAAUCUAUACACCUAUAGUGCCAAACUAAGCCGAUAUAACUCCAAAAUAAGCUCGAAUUCUGAAAAAAGUCCCCAACAGAGUCGCUAGAGCUGUCACAUUCUCUUUUUACCAAAAAAUAUUUUAUUUAAAGUUUGAAAGGGUUUUUAUUAUUAAGGUGACAAAAUAAAGAAGUUUGUUUCGAAGAGGAUUAAUUAGAUUCAAAACUCAGAGUCGCCACUUGGCAUAAUCCGGUGUACCAAGUCACCUUUGGAAAAUCCUUUUCAAAAUGAUUUGGCUCUUUAAGACUAAUUUGCAAACAGAGAUUUCGGCUAAGGAAUUCUGUUGACCGAGGGGAAGGUGUUAGGCACCCCUCGAUCCCGUGGUUCGACCAUGGUCGCUUGGUGGAGCAUAUCGGCUAAUUUGACAUUAUAAAUGUAUAAAUCACACAAAACACAUAAAACAACCAAUCAAACACACGAAACAAAACAAAUCCAAAAAUAUAAUAUGCAAUCCAAUUAUUACAACCUGAAAUUAAAAAAAAGGUACUAAAAGGUAAACCUACACUAAUCCUAAAAUAUGCUCCAAUGCUUUACCCGAUGCCUCGGGCCUUCAUCACGAACAUCCUCCGGGUACAAGAUACCUCGGGACAUUUUCCAAUGAAUAACUACAAAUGGCUUCGGGGUAUUCCCCGACUAAAUGAAUAUAAUUGAUUCAAAUGCGGUAAAUAAAACCAUUCAACAAAUAUCUCAAACAUUUCACCAAUUUCACAAUCCAUAAGUUUGCCUACCCCUAUAGUUUGUCUAACGAUCCACGGCCUAUACAUGAUGCUAUCGAACUUAACAAAGUCUGCGUUCAUUCCAAAUCAGGCAAUCAUCUCAAAACCAACAUAAAUCAAUAUUCACUUUUAAUAAUUUUUUUAUCUUUUUCUCUAAAAUCCAACUUAAUUCUUAAUAAGAUAUUAUUUUAUCACACAAAUCAUAAUCAAUUCAUAAUCAAGAAAAUCAAAUACCGAUUCAAAACGAACAAUAAUUCACAUCAUCAUAGAUCAACCAAUAUACCGUAUUCGAUUCAUAGCAUCGAACAUGAUAAACAACAAAAUAAAGAAGAGAAGGAAUAAAAUUGGACCUCGAUUGAAGCUUUUAUUGUGCCAAAUUGCGCGAUUAGAACACGGAGCCGGAUCCAAAAACCUCAGAUGAAACCUCAGACGAUCCAACUCCAAACUGAAAAUCAUGAGAUAGAGAGAAAUCCAGACAGAUUCCGGUGGAUUCCCGGGCGUUUAAGGCUAUUUUUGAGGCGUUGGUCAUCGAAACUACUAUUUUUGCGACCUCGAAGCUCCGGUGAGAUCGGAGAUGGUGGAGAUCAAAGAAAACAGAUCGGAUUUCGAGCUCUCUUAUUGACCCUGUUCUCUCUCUCCUCGUUGAUCCCUCGUUUUUCUCUCGAUUUCACUCUCUCAUCGUCUCUCUCUUCGUUACCUUCUGUUCUCUCUCUAUCUCUCACUGUGUGGCUGUGUGUAUGGGGCUUUUUUGUAUGGAGAAAAUGAGUAUAAAAUGGUUCUCUGGUCAGUGAGAGUAUUUGUGGCUUUUUUUGUGAAUCUCCUCCCAGUUCCUGUGUGUUCUUGGUGCGUAUAUACGCCCUUUCUUUGUGGAAAAGAAAUGUGAGGGAGUCACGUGAGGGGGUAGGAUGCCUAGGGGUGAGGUGGGGUAGGGGUGGGGUAGUGAGGUGGUUUAUUUUGAUUGGGUAUAUUUGUCACGCCCCAAAAUCCCAUCGGGCCGGACUGGCACCCGAAGCCGAGAAGGCCCGGGAGAACCCGUUCAAAUACCUGUACUUUCACUUACAUGUCACCAAAAAUUGGACAGCACUUCGUUGCAUAUAGAAGGAUCUAAUUACCUGUAUCAGCACAACACGCGCAAAUAUAUAUAUAUAUAAUACUUGGCCGUCGGGGCCACCACAUAUACAGAUAUAACAUCACUAUAUAAACUUCCAUGACUUUACCCUUCCUUAUGUCUACAAAGCCUCUAGGAUAUACAUGACAUAACUAGGGUCGGGACAAACCCCCGCCCACACAUGACUCAUGUACAAUAACAAAACAUAAGGAACCGACUCGGAAAGCUCCGAAGCAAACUGGAGCUCACCAACAAUAGCUGUAUGACCUGGCUCCUACUUGUGCGGUGUAUGAGCUGAGGUACCUGUGCCUGCAGCAUGAAAUGCAGGUCCCCCGUGAGGGACGUCAGUACGAAAUAUGUACUGAGUAUGUAAAGCUGUAAAUAAUCACAUAUGAUAUAGGAGCUCAAUAGAAAUCAGAAACAAGUGAAUAAGUCGUAAUAGGAGUGGACCACACUUACUAGAACUUGUGACAACCUGUACAUUGUAUUUAUUCAAUCACUUUACCUUCGUUCUUAUCGUCUUUGUAAUCAUUACUGUACUGUACUGUGACCAUUAGGAUGCCUCCAGUACAUAUCAACUGGGAUCGACCCAUGCUAGGCUUAUGCCCCUGGGAUACCACCCAUAAACACAUAAAUAGGGAUCGACCCAUGCUAGGCUUAUGCCCCUGGGAUACCACCCGAUAAGAGAGAACUUCCAUCACUUAGUUCAAUUAAUCUUUGAGAUUGUUAUUUCGGUCGCCACCACAUUUUUGAUACUUUGAAACAAUGAUACAUCAAUAGGAACCAAGUAAUAGACCUUCUAUACAAUAACGAUGUAAUAAAGACUCAUUGGUACAUCAACAAUGUGUUUCAGAAUCAUCAAUAUCACAACAAUGAAAUAAGAGCCUUUUGGUAUAUCAAUGAAACAUUUUGACACUUUAUAGAAUGGAAACAACUUCGUUGGUAACGUAGAACAAUACAUGUUUUUGGACAACCUCGGAAUCUUACUUGAUGGAACAUUGGUGUUUUCAUGCCAAAGAACAUUGUUAGAGUAUGCUUUACAUACCUCGUUGUAGAUUCGGAUACCAAUUCAACACAACUUCCCGCCUUUACAAAUCACUUAUCUACAAUGAAAUGUUUGGCAUCUAGUAUUAGCAACCCAACACCACAAUUCUCUUCCAUAAUUCCAUACUACCAAUAUUUGCAAAACAUUCCAAAAACCAACUUGAACAAUAGGUUUAUGUGUGUAUAUAUAUAUAAUCAUCAUUUCAAUACCACAUCAUCAAUACCACAUCAUCACCCCAAAUUCCUUCACAAUUUAACAUAAUCCAACCAUGCACAAGAAUAAUCCAACAUCAUUUCCAAUCAUCUUUCAACAACAAUCAAAUAACAUACUUCUUAUGCUCACAUGCAUAUAUAUAUAUACAUAUCCAUAUAAAUAACACCAACAUAAUUUACAUCCUUACCAAAAAAAUGGCCCUUUUGAUUUCGAAGUCCUGUUGGCACAAAUAAGGGGUGCUUCUCGAAGCCCUUGAGACGGUGAACACAACUACGGAAUCAAUUUGGAUUUUCUACGGUUGAAUCACAAGAUAAUUGGAGUUGAACUUAGGCUAGGGUUUCUUAUUCUUCAAUGAUUUGGAUGAUAAAUGGUGGAUAUAAGGCUAAGUAUAUGUAUAUAAUGACCAAUUUUCGUCCAUGAGGUGAUGGAAAAUGACCAUAUUGCCCUUAAAAAUUUAAGUAAAUCCGAAUCUGUCCAUGGUGGACUGUUUUGAUAGGCUAAAGUAAAUCGGCCAUAACUCUUUGCUCCGAUAUCGGAUUUGGGUGAAAUUGGUAUCGUUAGAAAGAUAAUUCAAAGGUCUUUCAUUUAAUAUAAAUUAAUCCACCCAGUUCGUCCUGUACAAGUAGUUAUGAUCGUUUGAAGUUGACCCUAAAAAUCUGUUUUGAGAGGCUGAAGUAAAACGAGUAUAACUCCUUACUCAGAUGUUGGAUUUGGAUGAAACCAAUUUCAUUGGAAAGAAGACUCAAAGAUCUUUCUUUUGAUAUAUGGUAGCUCAACCAGUUCAUUAUAUUGAGGGAGUUAUGAUCGUUCAAAGUUGACCCAAAAAACUGGCAGGCCUCAGUAGUUUCCUGCACAUUUUACUGUUCACAUCCCGGCCACCGUUUUAAAGUUUCGAACGAGCUCGCUUAUAUCCGAAACUUAUCCGUUUUUGGAAAUCUUUAUAUCGUUGGAAAGCUUAUUCAAUAACCUUCGUAUGGAACCAUCGACGGGAAAAUUCCGAUAUAAAUAAAGUCGAUUCCUAUACACCUAUAAUCAAACUAUACACUUGAAACCAUCUCAAAAUAAUCAAUAUUCCUAUACACAUAUAAUCAAACUAUACACUUGAAACCAUCUCAAAAUAAUCAAUACUCAUACUUAAACUCAUAUAUACCUAACUUAGGAUCAAUACAUAUACUCCAACACAUAUAACAAUGGCUAAUGCACGUAAUUAAGUACGGGGUGUUACAAUAUUGUUAGGAUAAGAUAAAAUUAGUUAGAUGUUAUUGUUUUGUUAUUUUGUGGAGGGAUUAUCACACGGGUGAGGGUACGUAGUAAAGUCUAAGCUAAAAAUGAAUAAAAUUGAAUUUGAGAGAGACAAAAUUAGGUGUCUACACUUAUUAGUAUUUUUAUUUGAUUCGAAGGAUAUCAUGUCAAAAGUUAUUUAAUUUCGCUAUUAGGAGUAUUUUUAGGGGGUGUUGGAGACUUGAUUAACAAGUAUUAAGUUUAGAGGACUGUCGAUGGAUUUGGCCUAAAAGAUAUACUACUGUAAUAGUUAUUUUUAACCUUUAAUAAUAAGCAAAUUACGAUUUUGAUUGUUAUAAUUUAUGAUUCGUAUAUUUAAUAUUAAAUUACUUAAGACAUACUAAGAAAAAAUUAAAAUAUGAGAAGUUGCAAAUUAUUUUUUUUUUUGGUAAAAAAGAAGAUAGCUGAAUUAGCUAACUAGCUACAUGUGCUUAUGGAAUACAUGCACCCAUUAACAUCAACCAGGAUUGAUAGCAAAAAACAGGUAAACAAGUUUAGAUGAACUGCCACUAUUACAUCUUAUGCUUCUGUCAAAAGUAGUUCCUAUCGUGUCUGCCUAAAGAGCAUGCCGAGCACACACUGGAGGAACUUCCAAAAGUGUAGUACUAUAAAAAACAUUUGAGUUGGCUCCCAUCUUAGCUAGCGCAUCCACCACCAUGUUUAGUUUUGGCUUAUAACUAGAUUCCCCAAUCUCCUUAACCUGUACCUGCAAUCAUCAACAAUUUCAGCAUAUAGAAUGUUAUUGUUAGUGAGCAUCUUUAUAAUUUUCGUAGAGUCCGUGUUGAUUUCAAUGGGUAUGAAAUUAAAUUGUUCGAUAAUUUUUAAUCCCUCCAGAAGAGCAAGUAAUUCCAUCUGGUUGUUAGUUGCAUUGAGAAAACUUUUGCUGUAACCAACCAUCCAGUCCCCAUUAUGGUUUCUAAUCACCCCUCCUAUUCCCCCUUUCCGGGAUUACCAAGACAAGAUCCGUCAAUGUUUAAUUUGAAGGUAUCUCGCUUCAGUGGCUCCCAUUUGAUGUUGAUAGAGGUAAUGGAAGUAUUAGUUUUUCCCUUAGUGUUAAGAUGGGCAUACUAAACAGUUUGGGAAUACUCUUGAUCAAAAGAAGCGUUUUUCGUAGUGUGAUGGAAGACGUUUUCAUUUCUCGUCUUCCAGAUUGUCCAAAGACAAUAAAGAAUAAUUUCUGCCCAAAGCACCAUCUUAUCAUAGCUUUUGUUUUUAUCAACCCCCAGGUGGUUCUCCAGUUUGCAGGCAUAAAGUCAAUAAGAUUUAGCUUGAGCCUGUUAGAAUGGUUGGCCCUAUGUAGUAGAUCUGUCCAUAUUUUCCUUGCACUUGUAUAGUGGUAGAAAAUAUGGUUGGAAUCUUUUGUUGGGCUGUUACAAAUUUGGCAUUUGAGAUCAAAUUUUAUCACCGUUCUUUGAAGAAACUUGUUAGUUGGAAGUCUGUUAUGGAGCAACUUCCAGAUGAAGAACUUAAGCUUAUUAGGAGUGUGAAUUUUCCACAGCAUGGACCAGUCCCAAUUCCCUUCUAUUUCAGUCUUGUCUUUCCUAUUCCUAGCAAAGAGAUGAUUGUACAUAGUACUACAGGAGAAAAGACCAUCCCCUUUCAGUUUCCACAGAGGGGUAUCUUUUUGGAUUCUGUGAUUUGGAAAGAAAACACUUUUUAUGUUGUGUUUGAUGUCUUGGGGUAUUUGCAUUAAGAGUGAGUCAAAAUUCCAAGAGUUAUUGUUCCACACCUCUGAGAGUUUGAUGUUCUCUUCAUUUCUAUUGAGAGGUCCCUGAAUGGUGGCUCUAAGAGAAGGGGUUUUAGGGGUCCACCUGUCCAUUCAAAAGCUAAUACUUUGACCAUUUUUGACACUCCAGAUGGUAGCUUUCUUAUAGUUAUGCCAAACUCUUAAGAUGUUCCUCUAGGUUCUUGUGCCAUAAGUAGAGCCAGGUAAACCGUUGGAGUUGUAUUUGGCAUUCAAGACACUGGUCCAAAGGUUGUUGAGGUCUUGACUAAAUCUCCGAGCCAGACUCAUAUGCAUAGAGGCCUUCUUGAGCCUGGAUUUUUGAAUACCAAGACAACCCUCCCUUUUGGGAAGAGUAACAGCAUCCUAGGAGAGAAGGUGCAUCCUCCUCUUGUCCUUGGUGGAUCCCCAGAUAAAUUCUCGAUUGUCUUGUCAAUGAGCUUUUGAAUCUUUUUGGGGAUGUCUAUGUAUUGCAUAAUGUUAUUAGGCAUGCUCCCAAGUGAAUCCUUUGCAAGAAUGGUUCUACCCGCCAUGUUGAGGAAUCUAGUUUUCCAUCCCCCCAAUUUGGUGUUGAGAUUGUCCAGGAUAAAGUUGAAAUUUUUAGCCUGAGGUUUGUGAUGGAAAAUGGGGAAUCCUAAGUAUUUUCCAAAUUCCUGUUUAGCCUGGAUUUGCAAUUUGAUGAAGGCUAAGGUAUCUCUCUCAACAAGGGAGUAGUUAUGGGAGAAAAUGACCUUUGACUUGGAAAUGUUAACUUUUUGACCAGAGUGAAGGCUAAAACUGUUGAGGGUAUUCAUGAUGGUCUGACAAUUUUUCCCAUCUGUCCUGGCAAAUAAGGUGAGAUCGUCAGCAAAAAACAAAUGAAAAAUUUUUGGACCCUUGGGACAUGUGGAAAUGGGGGUCCAGGAGGUUCAUUUCAUGAUCAAUCCUUCUAGAAAGGAGUUCCAUACACCUUAUGAAGAUGUAUGGUAAAAGAGGAUCUCCCUGUCUAAUGCCCCUGGUGGGGUUGAAGAAGUUAGUUUCCCCCCAUUGAUCAGAAUAGAAAUUUUGGAAGAGGAGAUGCAAGACAUGAUGAGCCUGAUUAGCCUGGUAGGAAUGUUAAAAAAAGUGGAGGGCUUAUCCGAUGAAGGACCAUUCUAAUCUAUCAAAAUUUUUCUCAAGGUAGAUCUUAAGAAUCAUGUUAACCUUCUUACCCUUCAUUUUGGAGAAGUGUGUGAUGUAUUCUUGGACAAUGAUUGCAUUGUCUGCGGCUCUCCUGUUAGCCAUGAAACUUGAUUGGCUGUUGCUAAUAAUGUUAGGAAGGUGAGGUUUCAACCUAUUGGUUAUGAGCUUAGUGAUGAUUUUGUAUUGGGUGUUACAGAGUCCAAUAGGUCUGAAGUUCUUGAGAUUGGUGGCAUUCCUACACUUUGGGAUGAGGCAAAGGUAGGUAGUGUUAACCUCUUCCUCCAUAGUACAACUAGUGAAGGUCUCUUGACAAAACUUGACCAAGGAGGGUCCUAAGAUAUCCCAAUAUUUUUGGUAGAAUAGGGGAUGGAUGCCGUCAGGCCCAAGGGCUUUCGUGAGUUUGAAGGAGGAAACAACUCUUUUGAUUUCAUUAGGGAUGGCCAUUAAUGCUUGGUGGUUGGAAGCACACCAAAAGUAACACCUUUGAAAGUUGAAAAAUAAUUAGAAAUAAGAGAAAUAGUAGUGUAAAAGGAAUGAUAACAUAUAUAAUUGACAAAAUAAAAGGA